GUUUUAUCUAUUUUCUGCUUUUAUUUUCCCUUGUUCUUAAACUGCAAAAACAGAACUUCCUUUUAAACAUCAGUUUUUAAAAGAUUGAACCUAAAGUUAUCGUUACCUUUGUAUUCCCAGUUAGUUGAAAGCUAUCAAGUUUCAACUUCUAACCUUCGGUGUUUCUGCGGACGAUUUGAUGAUUGUAUGUUUAGUUUCCUUCUUGCCGUUGCAUUUUUUGUUAAUGGACUGCGAUAUGCUUCUACAGAUAUGAUGGAUUCUAUCUUUCUUUUAGUUCCCUCGUCCAAUGGUUGUUGAUGUUGAAGAUUGUAGCAAGUCGAAAACGGUCUGUUUUUGGGUGUAAGAUAAAGAUGACAAAUGUACCAGGUGCUCUAUCUGGUGUUUAGAGUAAUGGCUUUUCGCAAAUGAAUUUUGAAUAGCUUGUGCAGCAGGUGCGGGAAAAAAGUUUAGAGCACAACAAGGCAAAGGACAACGGGCAGAUGCUAAUUGCAUACACUUUGAAAAGUUCGUCAGAAUCGCCUUCAACACCAAAUGUUGCACCUUUUGAAGAUGAAAUAGUCCCUAUUUCAGCCAUUCCCUCACAGUCCACUGCACAAAGUUUUUAUGUUGAAGGAGAAAUAUCAUUGCCGAGUGAAUUUCAACUUUUCUUCGUGUUUUUAUGCUCUGAGUGUCAACAUCUAGCACGAAUCAAGCGCAAAACGAAAGUUCUUUGUAUCAAACUGCAAGCUAUAGAGAAUGUUGAUUCCAAGAUGUGUAUUUGAAGUUGAAAUCACAAAAGGGAGCGGAAUAGUAGCAGCACUAGUGUCAGUGAAAUUGGCUGAAAGAAUGCUUUCAUUAACAGCGGACCAAAUAUAUGAAACUACCAUUGUGAAAGUGUACAUACUGAUUCAACUUACUGGAAAUUAAUUUAAAAUCUUCACUUUACUAAUUCUGUGUGCUCUAAACUUUUCUCCGCAUAAGCAAUUGUUACCUGUUGAGCGCACCUGUUGUACAAGUUGUUCAAAAUUCAUUUGCAGAAGUCACUACUCAGGACGCCAGAUAGAGCAGCUGGUAUAUUUGUCAUCUUAUCUUACACCCAAAAAACAGGCCGUCUUCGACUUGCCACAAUCUUCAACAUCAACGACAUUGGCGAGGGAAGUAAAAGAAAGAUAGAAUCAAUCACUUCUGUAGAAGCAGAUCGCGGUCCAUCAACAAAAGAUGCAACGGCAAGCAAGAAACCAAACAUACAAUCACCAAGUCCUCCGCAAAAACACUGAAGAUACUUCAUCAUAUUUUGACUGCAACAAAAGUCGCCUGAAUGUUUUUUGAUAACCUACAGCAGUUGUAAUGCUUGCGUUCAGAUUUUGAUGCUGCAGUUCACUGCAUUACAAUGUUUCACAUUUUUGUGUAAAUAUCUAUGCAGAUUUUGAUGCGUUUUUUCAUUGCAGUACAAACUUUCACAUUUUGUGUAAAUAAGUAUGCAAACUAUGUCUUUGUAUAUUCUUGUAAAUGCAGGUAGCUCCUUUUAUGCAUGCAUUUAUGUUUCCA
This is an RNA transcript of Nicotiana tabacum (common tobacco), 1527 nucleotides long. RefSeq lists it as uncharacterized. Lineage: Eukaryota; Viridiplantae; Streptophyta; Magnoliopsida; Solanales; Solanaceae. The record is from RefSeq and is a predicted model, not a curated record.